ACUCUGCAUUUGUUUACAGUAACUCUUUAAAUGUUACAUUAAAAAAAGAUCCGUUGGUCGGUCCUUUUUCAGAAAAGUAAAUGGACUAGCUCAACGGUGCAUCCUUUAGACGCGAUUAAAAGAAAAACAAGAUCUCUCUACAUUUAUGCAGUGUAAAAGUUCGGAUCUGAAAGCGCAUUGUUAUAUGAUGUAACCUACUGAAGCGUUAGUAAAGAGAAGAGAAUGUACCUCAUCGGCAGCGACAGAUGGACCGGGAGAGGAAGCAUCGAGGCUAGGUCCAGGAGCUCCAGUUGGUGGAGCGGGAGGUCCAAGCAUAUCAGGUGAAGGAGUCGGAGCAUGGUGUUUCUUGGAUUUCUUGCUUUUGCUCUUGCUCUUGCUUGGAGCUGGGGCCGGAACCUCAGCAGUAGUUGGUGCAGCAACAGGAGCCGGAGGAGAGGCCGAGCUCUCUGGUGGAGUCGUCGGUGCAGCAACGGGAGGCGAUUUGGCUGGAGGAGAGCUCACAGGUACUGGAGCAGGUGGAGAACUCACCGGAGCAGCAGCCGGAGGAGAAGAAGCCGGAGCAGAUUUAGAUGGGGCUGGAACCGCCGCAGACUUCUCCGGAGCCGCAGCCGGUGGUGAAGAAGUUGGUGGGGAAGUGGUAGGGGCAGCAGUUGGAGCCGGUGAUUUAGGUUUGCUAACAGGGGCAGUAGCGGGAGCAGUAGCAGGAGUAGCCGCGGCCGGCGGAGCUUUAGUAGGUGAGGCUGCCGGAGAUUGACCACCGACAGCGGUUACCACAAAGCAAAUCAAAGCAACUGCAAAUGCACUUCUACGAUCCAUUUCUUGAAGACAGAGGGAGAGUGAAGUAGUAACAGAAACUAAUGACAACGAGACGACAGACUCUCAAUAAAUAUAUAAAUAAAUGAGGGAGAGAAUCAGAAAAAAUGAUGAUUAUAAAAAGAAAAGAAGAAAAAGUUAGGAACGUGUUUGGAUCAGAAAUAGCCGUUGGAUGAGAAGCUAUUUCGGGGCCCACCGUCAUCAAAUUGUAAUGUGGCGAUCAAGACUCGACAGUCUGGAUUGGGGCCCACAUACAUGAACCAUGUAAUUUGUUGUUACAUUACCUGAUUAGGGUAAACUACACCCAAGGUCACUGAAGUAUUAAUAAAUUUACAUUUCAGUCGUUUAACUUUAAAAAGUUACAAAAUAGUCACUAAAUCAUUCGGAAGUUUUUAUUUAAUUCAUUGAGAUAUUAAAUCUCUGUUAUAUGGCUUUCUUUAUUCACACGGCCUACACCAAUCAAAAGAUCUUAUUCUCCUUCUCUUCAACAAUUUAAUUAUUUUCAUAGAAUAAUUUUGAAUGUUAUGAAUUUACGAAUCAAAAUUCAAACAGUUUUCUUUUUCAAUCUCUUACAAGGUAUGUUCUUCUACUCUUUGAUAGGUACUAAUCCAUUGUAUCAAUCGUCAUAAAAAAAUACUUAACAAUUCAAUGACUUAAAUAAAUACUUUCAAAUAAUUUAGUGACCAUGUUGUAACUUUUUAAAGUUAAGUGACCAAAAUAUGAAUUUACUAAUAAUUUAGUGACCUUAGGUGUAGUUUACCCUACUAAUUAAUAUUAUAAUAAAUGUUUAAUUCUAUCCCCAACCUCUGUACUCUUUGGGGUUUUAAAAUUUAGCCUUCCUACUUUUGAUUUUAAAAAUUUAGUUUCUCUUCAUUUUUAUUUAAAAGUCCAAUUCAUGAAAACUUGGUUAAAUUUUAAUAUUCGAAGCUUUGAUCUAAAAAUAAUAAUAUAUAUUUAAAUUGAAUGGAAAUGUUAUUAAUUAAAUUUUAAUUUUUAAAUCAAGCAGGAGAGAUAGGGAAUUAAAAUUUAAAAUUAAAAUUUAAAAGCUGAAAGAGUAAAGGGGUUGGAAAAAAUUAAACCUACAAUAACUAAUUGAAUGAUACAAUUGUUAUGAAGUAGUGAGACAGCUGGACGUAGGGAGAGUGGGGUAUUGCUGCGCAAAGAGACAAACCAAUAGGAGGCGGCCGCGUGACCGGGUAAAGCAGUUACGGGUGAUAUUUUGAGAUGGGUCACCGACUCACCGGCAAGAAACUGUGUCUCUGCAAGCAAAACUUGUCUGGAAUAACGUGACGUGUAUUAUACUUAAACACCCUAACCUUUUCUCUUUUCGUUAAAAAUUGUCAAGUGGCUAAGGCUUUUUUUUUUAUCAUCUAUAUAUUAGAGUUUUAAAAAAAGUUUUGCAAAAUAGUUGAGUUGUGUAAUUAUUUCACCUCCACCCUUUGGCCUCUCUCGGUACAUUAUUAUGUAAAAGUGAGUAUUCCACUGAAUCGAUUAAAAAAUUUUGAGUUAAUUGAGUUAACGAGUUUUAUUUUAUCAUUCUAACUCGAUUUAAUUUUUUUUCAAAUUGAAUUGAGUAAAAUAAAAUUCGAGUCGAUUCGAAUGAAAUUGUUUGAGUUAAAUUAAAAAAUUAAACAUGUUAAAUUAAAAUCUUGUUAUACUAUAUAGAGGUGCUCAUGGGCCGGGCGGCCCGGCCCGGCCCGACGGCCCGCCCGAAAUAUGGGAGGGUUUGGGUAAAAAUAUAGGCCCGAAAUAUGGGCUUGGGCAAAAAAAUGAUGCCCGAUUUAAAAACGGGCCGGGCCUCGGGCACAACUUUUUUGGCCCGGGCCCGGCCCGGCCCGGCCCGAAUAUAAUAAAUAUUUUUAUUAUUUUUAAUUUUAAAAUACUUUUAAAAUACUUUUAUUAAAUUUUUUAAAUUUUUAAAUUUUUUUAAAAUACUUUUUAAAUUUUUUUUAAUUUUAAAAUAUUUUUAAAAUACUUUUUUUAAUUUUUAUUUUAAUUUUUAAAAUAAUUUUUUGGUAAUUAUUUAAAAAACGGGCCGGGCCGGGCCCAGGCUUAUGAUUUUUUUCCCAGGCUGGGCCUGGGCAAAAUUCUAGGCCCAUAUUUUGGGUCGGGCCAAAAAAAAUUUUUGGGCCCGGCCCGGCCCAGCCCAUGAGCACCUCUAAUACUAUAACUAAUUCCAUGUUAUAACACAUAAAUUUGAAACCAUAUAUAUUUGAAAACUUUUUCAAAGCAGAAUAAAAAAAUUACUUUAGUAUGAUAAACUUGAAUCAUUAAUUAACUUAUUUAGGUCCCAAAAUUAUUAUUCUAGAAAAUUUUUAAUAUUUUAACUUUCUUUAUAUUUUUUUAGAUUUUUUUUUGAAAUUUUUAUAAUUUUUAAAAAGUAUAAAUUUGGAAUUUUUAUAAAUAUUUUGAAAUUUUAAAAUUAUUUUGUAAUUUUUAUUGAGAGAGUGGUCAAUUUGUUCAUUUUCAAACUUGGCAGAGACCAAAAAGGUAUUUAUACCAAUAUGUUAUUCGAAUUAUUCGAGUUAUUUUAAUUGUAAAAUUCAACUCGAUUCGAACUCGAAACUCGAAUUACUUACUCGAGUUGACUUGAAUAAUUCAAAUAACUCGAUUCAAUUAACUCAAAAUUUAAUUUUUUUCGGAUUAAAUUGAAUUUUGCUCACUCCUAUUAUUUUGCACAGCAUCACAAUAUAGAUUUUUCGGUUUUAAAAUAUCGCCGAUCUAUAUUCUUCUUCAAUGCUAUAAAGCUCGACCCUUCCACAAUCAUUAUCUAUACAUCAUCAUCAUACAUUGUAUGAAUCGUAGAAUAUAUUACUGGAUUGUCAUAUAUAAUAAAUUUAUAUCUAUUCAUCAUCAUCAUACAUUAUACAAAAAUAUAUAAUAUGUCAAUUUACUACAUUCAUGAUAUGGAUUGAAAGAUAAAAAUUACACAAAUAAAAAUUACAUUUACUAAAAAUAAUGAUAUUUUCAAUAAUUAUUUGAUUUUAUAAAUAAAAGAGUUAUUAAUUAAAAUGAUAAAUAAAAAAUAAAAAAAACUUGAAAACAAUAUAUUUAUUAAUUAUAAAUAUUAAUUAAAAAUAAUAAAAAAGUUGAAAUAAAAAAUACAUAUUAAAAUUCUUAUAAAAGGAAUCAAACUUAGGACUGAAAGAAGAAAUCACAAUUAUCUAACCAUCUAACCAAAAGAGCUAAUGUGUCAAAAAUAUUAAUUUAAAAAAAAACUUAAAAUAACAUGAAAUAAAAAUUACAAAAGUGAAUAGGAGAGGAAUUGAACCUAAGACUUAAGACUAAAAACACUAACACUUAACCAUCUGAUCAAAAGAGCUAAGUUGUCAAUUUGUGAAAACAUGACACAUGUUCAGCUGACGUAGCUAAAAAUAUGCCCUAUAAGACGCAUUUUCAAUGACAUAGACAGUGAAAAUGCACCAUGUAAGACGUGCUUUCCUUUCUCUCUUCAAAACAACAUUGAUAAAUUUAAAAAAAACAACAUAGAUAAUUAAAUGUAGAUUUUUUUUUUCAGCAUAAAUGGAUAAAUCAACCUGGUAUAUAUUAAAUUAAUUAUAUUAUCUUAAUUAUUUAUUUGACUGAGUCUUAUUAAUGAAUGCCAAAUAUUAUAUAUUAUUAAUUAAUAUUUGCCUUCUGUUUCGAGCAAAUAAGAAAGCUUCAUAUUGGCCAUUUACACGCACACACGCAUAUAUAUCAUAGUGUAUUAUGAAUAUUCCAAGUGAAGGGAAUUUGCAUGCUUUUGGCUUUGGGUUGAUGGGAAAACGACAAAAACACCAAUAUUAACCAAUAAAAUUAAAAGCUUUAGAAUUAAGGACGAAUCACGCUUGAAAGUAGGCAUUGGGUCUAAUACAGUUUGUAUACAUUUGAUGCUUCAAAUAAUGCAUUUUGAAAGUUUGCUGCUUGGGCUUACAUUUUACAGGGUUUUGUUGUAGAGAAAAAGAGAAUUUUUAAUUUGUAGAGUCCUCUUGUGAAGUGCUUCUUCUGAUACGUGGCAAUUGUGAAUGUAAGAAGUUUCAUACAUGUAAGUCUGUCUGGUGUUUGCAGCCGGGGGAGAAGACGAUAGGAACCAAUGAAUAACGUCUCUCCUGGUUUAUGCCCCCAUGCCUAAUUAUUUUUUACUCAAAACUGUUCUUUCAGAUUAAACUAAAUAUUCAGAUUGAUUUGUAAGAUAUGCAUUUGCUGCCAUUUUAAGCUUUCCUGUACUUUCAUUGGAACAUUGUCUAACCAAACAACUCCUUUUUUCCCUGUAAUGGUUCAUGAGCUAUAUAUGAUCGUUUCAGUUUUGUUACUUUUACAAUGUUUAACCUGCACAAAUGAUCUUGGGAUUCAUUAGCAUUGGUAUUAGUAAAAUAAAUUGUGAUUUUAUUAAAAUAUAAUAGAGAAAUAAAAGACAGAAAAUGGGUAAAUGAAGGGGAAAAAAAAAAAGAAUGGGGGAAAUUACAUAGGAAAAAAGAACUAGAGUUUCCGCCUCUCAAUACACCAACCAAAGAAUUACAACGCAGAAUGUGGAAUGUGAUCAAAAUCAAUCUAGAAGCUCAAAGCAAUGGCUGCCCAUCCCAACGCCAACCCUCCAAUUAUCUUCUUCAUGUUCUUCAUUGCCUCUGCUCCACUCUGCAUUUGUUUAUAAUAACUCUUUAAAUGUUACAAAUAAAUAUAGUUUUAAGAUGAAAAAAAGAUCCAUUGGUCGGUCCUUUUUCAGAAAAGUAAAUGAACUAGCUCAACGGUGCAUCCUUUAGACGCGAUUAAAAGAAAAACAAGAUCUCUCUACAUUUAUGCAGUGUAAAAGUUCAGAUCUGAAAGCGCAUUGUUAUAUGAUGUAAGCUACUGAAGCGUUAGUAAAGCGAAGAGAAUGUACCUCAUCGGCAGCGACAGAUGGACCGGGAGAGGAAGCAUCGAGGCUAGGUCCAGGAGCUCCAGUUGGUGGAGCGGGAGGUCCAAGCAUAUCAGGUGAAGGAGCCGGAGCAUGGUGUUUCUUGGAUUUCUUGCUUUUGCUCUUGCUCUUGCUUGGAGCUGGGGCGGGAACCUCAGCAGUAGUUGGUGCCGCAACAAGAGCCGGAGGAGAGGCCGAGCUCUCUGGUGGAGUCGUCGGUGCAGCAACGGGAGGCGAUUUGGCUGGAGGAGAGCUCACAGGUACUGGAGCCGGUGGAGAACUCACCGGAGCAGCAGCCGGAGGAGAAGAAGCCGGAGCAGAUUUAGAUGGGGCUGGAACCGCCGCAGACUUCUCCGGAGCCGCAGCCGGUGGUGAAGAAGUUGGUGGGGAAGUGGUAGGGGCAGCAGUUGGAGCCGGUGAUUUAGGUUUGCUAACAGGGGCAGUAGCGGGAGCAGUGGCAGGAGUAGUCGCGGCCGGCGGAGCUUUAGUAGGUGAGGCUGCCGGAGAUUGACCACCGACAGCGGUCACCACAAAGCAAAUCAAAGCAACGGCAAAUGCACUUCUACGAUCCAUUUCUUGAAGACAGAGGGAGAGUGAAGUAGUAACAGAAACUAAUGACAACGGGACGACAGACUCUCAAUAAAUAUAUAAAUAAAUGAGGGAGAGAAUAUCAGAAAAAAUGAUGAUUAUAAAAAGAAAAGAAGAAAAAGUUCGGAACGUGUUUGGAUCAGAAAUAGCCGUUGGAUGAGAAGCUAUUUCGGGGCCCACCGUCAUCGAACUAUCAUACAAAGACACAUUGUAAUGUGGCGAUCAAGACUCGACGACAGUCUGGAUUGGGGCCCACAUACAUGACCAUGUAAUUUGCUGUAACAUUACCUGAUUAGGGUAAACUACAGCCAAGGUCACUGAACUAUUAAUAAAUUUACAUUUCAGUCAUUUAACUUUAAAAAGUUACAAAAUAGUCACUAAAUCAUUCGGAAGUUUUUAUUUAAUUCAUUGAGAUAUUAAAUCUCUGUUAUAUGGCUUUCUUUAUUCACACGGCCUACACCAAUCAAAAGAUCUUAUUCUCCUUCUCUUCAACAAUUUAAUUAUUUUCAUAGAAUAAUUUUGAAUGUUAUGAAUUUACGAAUCAAAAUUCAAACAGUUUUCUUCUCUGAUCUCUUACAUUGACUAUUAGAUUGACUUGGAUCUGAGGUAUGUUCUUCUACUAUUUGAUAGGUACUAAUCCAUUGUACCAAUCGUCGAAUCAUUGCUUGGAGCUCGCUAGCCGAAAUUUAAAAAAAUACUUAAUAACCCAAUGACUUAAAUAAAUACUUUCAAAUAGUUCAGUGACCAUGUUGUAAUUUUUUAAAGUUAAGUGACCAAAAUAUAAAUUUACUAAUAAUUUAGUGACUUAGGUGUAGUGUACUCUAGUAAUUAAUAAUAUAAUAAAUGUUUAAUUCUAUCCUUGGGGUUUUGAAAUUUAGGCUUUCUACUUUUGAUUUUAAAAAUUUAGUUUCUCUUCAUUUUUAUUUAAAAGUUAAAAGUCCAAUUCACAAAAGCUUGGUUAAAUUUGAAUAUAUAUCAUUUUAAUAUUCGAAGACUUGAUCUAAAAAUAAUAAUAUAUAUUUAAAUUGAAUGGAAAUGUUAUUAAUUAAAUUUUAAUUUUUAAAUCAAGCAGGAGAGAUAGGGAAUUAAAAGGUGAUAGAUUAAAAUUUAAAAGCUGAAAGAGUAAAGGGGUUGGAAAAAAUUAAACCUACAAUAACUAAUUGAAUGAUACAAUUGUUAUGAAGUAGUGAGACAGCUGGACGUAGGGAGGGUGGGGUAUUGCUGCGCAAAGAGACAAACCAAUAGGAGGCGGUCGCGUGAUUGGGUAAAGAUGUUACGGGUGAUAUUUUGAGAUGGGUCACCGACUCACAGGCAAGAAACUGUGUCUGCAAGCAAAACUUGUCUGGAAUAACGUGACGUGUAUUAUACUUACCCUAACCUUUUCUCUUUUCGUUAAAAAUUGUCAAGUGGCUAAGGCUUUUUUUUUUUUAUCAUCUAUAUAUUAGAGUUUUAAAAAACAGUUUUGCAAAAUAGUUGAGUUGUGUAAUUAUUUCACCUCCACCCUUUGGCCUCUCUCGGUACAUUAUUAUGUAGAUGAGAGUAUUCGAUCGAAUCGAAUGAAAUUUUUUUUAAGUUAAUUAAGUUAACGAGUCUUAUUUUAUCAUUUUAACUUGAUUUAAAUUUUUUUAAAUUAAAUUGAAUAAAAUGAAAUUCGAGUCAAUUCGAAUAAAAUUAUUUGAGUUAAAUUAAAAAAUUAAACAUAUUAAAUUAAAAUCUUGUUAUACUAUAACUAACUUCAUAUUAUAGCACAUAAAUUUGAAACCAUAUAUAUUUGAAAAAAUUUUCAAAGCAAAAUAAAAAAAUUUACUUUAGUGCGAUAAACUUGAAUCAUUAAUUAACUUAUUUAUGUGCCAAAAUUAUUAUUCUAGAAAAUUUUUAAUUUUUUUAACUUUCUUUAUAUACUUUUUAGAACUUUUAGAAUUUUUUAUAAUUUUUAAGAAAUAUAAAUUUGUAAUUUAUAAAUAUUUUAAAAUUUUAAAAUUAUUUUGAAUUAUUUUGUAAUUUUUAUUGAGAGAGAGGUCAAUUUGCUUAUUUUAAAAUUGGCAAAGACCAAAAGGAUAUUUAUACCAAUAUGUUAUUCGAAUUAUUUGAGUUAUUUGAAUUGUAAAAUUCAACUCGAUUCGAACUCGAAACUCGAAUUACUUAUUUGAGUUGACUUGAAUAAUUUGAAUAACUCGAUUCAAUUAACUCAAAAUUCGAUUUUUUUUCGAAUCAAAUCGAAUUUUACUCACCCCUGUUAUUUUGCACAGCAUCACAAUAUAGAUUUUUCGGUUUUAGAAUAUCGCGAAUCCAUAUUCUUCUUCAUUGCUGUCGAGCUCAACCCUUCCACAAUCAUUAUCUAUACAUUAUCAUCAUACAUUAUAUGAAUCGCAGAAUAUAUUAUUGGAUUGUCAUAUAUAAUAAAUUUAUAUCUAUACAAUUUAAUCGAAGCUUCGAUUUUCAAUUGAUUUUACACUUCAUCUUCAGUAAUAUGAUAUCUUUUAUGAACAUCAUAUUAAUCAGACUCAAAUAUUACAUUGAUAUUUAUAUCACGAAUUUGAACAUUAUAAUUCACCACAACAAAGAACAUAUUGCCCAUUGUGUAUAAAAUUUUUGUAUAUAAUAUCAAUUUAAAUUAAAAAAAUUUAUCAAUAUAUAACUAAUAAAACAAUAAUAUCAUUCUCCCUAAUAUAAUAUCUUUAACUAUAACAUAAACAUAUUUCAUUUAAAAAAAACUAUGCUUAAUGUGAUACAUUGGAUUAUAAUAUUAUAUAAAUUAAAAUUUAUUAAAUUAUUUUUAUUUUUAAUAUUUUUAAGAAUAAUAUUGAGGGGAAAUUAAAUUAGAUUCUCAAAUAUGAAAUAAAAUAUAGGAUUUAUUUUCUAAAUAUAAGGACGCAAAUUUCAUAUAUAAAUGAUAUUAUAUAAUUAUAUUUUAUUAUAUAAAUCAUAAAAAUCCUAUUUCAAAUAAUUCUUUUUAGUUUCAUCAGUCAUUUGUUUUUAAGAUCAACAAAUUCAACGGCGUUUGUAAAAUAAAUUUUUGUACAAAUGAUUGUAAAAAGUUAGCUCAAUAAUCAAUUUUUAAAAUUUUUAUCAUAAUUUUAAUAGAUAUUAAAAUAAAAAGUAAAUAUUAAACAUAUAUAAAUUGCCAUUACAACUUACUACAAAGUAACUUAUAAAUAUAUUAUUUAUAUUUAAAAAUAAUAAAAUACAUAAAAAAAAUGGUUUGUAAUGAUAUUCCAAGAUUGACUUGCCAUUAAUUCUUCCCAAUUCAUUUUUAAUCUAAAAAUUGUCUUGGUAUAUUAACGAUAAUAGAAAUUUGUUAUAUGGGAAGAUUAAUUUAUUUAAUUACAUUUUUUGAGAAGUUAAGAGCAUAAUAUAAAAUAUUCUAUAUGCAUUAUAAAUUAUAACUGUGAUGGUAAAUAUUCUAUAUACAAUUAAAAUUACUUUAUUUCUUUAAAAAGAAUACUAGCAAUCGUUAAAAUGAAUUUUACUAAAUUGGAUGUAAUUGAAGCAUCACGAUUACACUUUUUGAUUUUUAAGGAGAGAGUGAGAAUGGAAAUAAUUACGCAAAUAAUCACAUCACAAUCUAAUUUUUAAAAAUUAUUUUUAUACAAGUUAUAAAAAACAUGAACAUGUAUGAGAGUUUGGGAUGAUUAUUACCAAAAUUUUCUUAUAUUAUAAAAAUAAUGGGUAUUUUUAAAGUUAUAACAAAAAAAAUAUUUAAAUCCUAAAAAAGUCUAAAAUUAUGAAAAAAAAAUGUUAUAAAAGUGUUAUAAUAUAUUUAUUUAUGAAAAGUUAUGGCUAAGAAGUAUAAAAAUAAUAUACUUAUUGGCAUAAUGAUUUUUUUGCCCCUCCAACUUUGUUAGAGUAUAAUGGUAACGACUCUGUUAUUGUAAGUUGUUAGUCUGUUAUUCAAAACUGUUAUGUUGUUAACAACAGUUACUAGCAACAACUAGCUCACAUAUUCUAUAAAUACUAGUGUUGUACAAUUCAAUGAAGAUAAUACAUAAAUAAUACAGAAUACCUUUUUCAAUACACAAUAUUGCUUUUACUUAGCUUACUGUAGAUAUUAACAUGGUAUCAAUCGCCUUGGUGCUGGAGACCUGAUCUUCGUUUGCUCCCAUGACUACCACUACUUCUAUUGACUCUGCCUCUGUCGAGCAUGGCUGUUCGGCGUCCACUGGUGUUCGGAUCGUUCAAUCCUUCCCUUGCCAUGACACUGUUAAAUUGGAUGAUGGAAAUUUCGUUCAAUGGCAGCAACAUAUUCGCCUGAUCAUUGAAGGUUACGAACUGACUGGUUUUUUGGAGGGCACGUUACCUGCUCCAUCGCGUUUUGUACAGUCGUCAGAGGGAUCUCUUGUUCCAAAUCCGGAUGCCUCGGCGUUCGUUCAACAUUAUAGGUUACUUGCCUCUUGGUUACUCUCCACUAUUAAUCCUUCACUAUUAUCCUCAUUUACAGAUGCUUGAACGGCGUGUGAUGUUUGGAAUACUUCCACUCGUCUCUUUGCAGCAGUCACGGGUGCAAAUUUAUCUCGCAUUUGUCACGAUCUAUACUCACUUAAGAAAGAUAACCUCUUAAUCAAAAAAUAUGUAGCAAAAAUUCAGAAUACCUGUGCCUUGAUCGAGGCUUCUGGCUUUCAGAUCUUAGAGGCAGAAAAGGUUAAGAUUGUCCUUACAGGUCUACCUCCGGAGUUUGAUGCUGUGCUUACCUUAGCAUCAUUCUCAUUUGAAACUCUACCAUUUCAACGUCUUGUUGACUUGUUAUUAGAAUAUGAGACGCGACAGAUGCAUGCAGUUCAAGAACUGUUGAUUCAUGCAAAUCUUGUGGAGUCUGUUCCGUUACCACCGAUGGUGGAUUCUGUUCAUGGUGGCCUCCUCCGUCCGGUGGUCGUGGCAAAGGAUUUCGUUCCUGCAUCCAAUGUCAUAUUUGCGGCCGAUUUGGGCAUUUAGCCUAGUGAUGUUAUUAUCGUUAUAAUCGCGAUUAUGAUGGACAACUGUCGGUGGCUCAGGCUUUAACUCCCGGUCGGUAGUCUGAGUCAGGUCUCGGCUGUUGGGUUUUUGUUUUCGUCGCAAACUCCUAGUGGGUUUGAUGGCCCUUCGACUACAGUGCCGUAUGGUUUCUUCUCUGGCAAAAAUUUUUGUGCUGCACCUCACAUGCCUAGGCUGUCCACUAGGGUUUCUAACCCCUUUGCAGUCUUUGAUGAUGGAUUUGGGCAUAAUGCCGCUAGGGCAAUGUUACAAUUUGGGCCUGGGCAUGAGUCUUCUCCUUUAGUGCCUAGGCAGGACUCAUAAUCUGGCAGUUUUGCUGCUGCUGCUAGGUUCGGGCCUGCUGCUACUAGGCCACAUGACUAUGGCUAUUAUCCUGGUCAGCCCGUGCGUGCCAGGUCAUCUAGCUCAAACUAGGAACUUGGGGGCACGUUUACUUUACUUGGGCCGCAGGCUACUAAUUUUCCAAAUGGGCCAACAUCCAAUUGUGUAAAGUUUUCUAAUUCUCUUGGACAUGGACGCGAGAUUGGGCCUUCCGGUGACGGUGAUUAUCAUGCGUCUAGGCCGUCUGUUCCUUGGCGGACCAAACUGAGGGCUCAUGUUUGCACUGAGUCUGAUCCGUGCAUUGGGCUCACUCGUCUACCCGAUUUACAUACGUCCGAUGUAUCUAAUUCUACUGAUCCUAAUAUUCACGCCACUCAAUUUAGGUCCAACCUUAAUGAUACUGGUUUCUAUAUCUCUAUACUCAUCAGAACUGCAUCCUGGUAUCCAAAUUCAAGGGCUACACACCAUGUAUGUCGCGAUGCCUUUGUGUUGAAUGACUCUACACCUUACUCAGGUACAUCCUCUCUAUUAAUGGGUGACGAGACUUCCACCAGGAUCUCGUCUGUUGGAAAUUCAGUGUUUCCUACAUAGAAUAAAUUACUUCGCUUAUCUAAUGUUUUAUGUGUACCGACUAUACAGAAGAAUCUACUGUCUGUAUAUCAGUUUGCCACUAGCAAUAACGUGUUUUUUGAAUUUCAUCUAACUUAUUGUGUUGUUAAGGACAUCAAGACUUAGAAAAUUUUGUUGAGGGGCCACAUUCGUGAUGGGUUCUAAUAUUUUUCUCCAUCGAUUGCGUCUGUUCCGUCUAUUGUGGCUCCUUCUAUUGCCAAUAUUGGACUUUAGACUCGGACUGCUAACUGUGAUAAUUUUUCUUUAUGGCACAAGUGUCUUGGUCAUCUCUCUGCUUCUGUUGUUAAAUCUGUUUUAGAUAAAUGUAAUAUUGCUUCCAAUAAAGUUUGUCUUGAUAAUGUUUAUACUACAUGCCAAAAAGGGAAGUCUCAUAAACUGCCUUUUCCAACCCCUACUACUGAAUAUACUGAUCCUUUUACUUUGGUGGUCUUCGACCUAUGGGGACCUACAUCAGUUGCCUGUAGACGUAAUCGGUAUUAUGUCUCGUUUAUUGACAUGUGCACUCACUUUACUUGGAUUUAUCUUAUUCGUUAAAAGUCUUAGGCGGUGGAUUGUUUUGUUUAGUUUCAACAAUUAAUCAAGACUCAAUUUGGUAAAAAAAUCAAACAAUUUCAGAGUGAUUGGGGAGGAGAGUUUUGCGCUUUCACGUCAGUGUUGGCGACUCAAGGGAUAAUUCAUAGACUGUCCUAUCUUCAUACGCCCGAACAGAAUGGGGUGGCUGAACGCAAUCGCCAGCAUAUUGUUGACAUGGGUAUUACAUUUUUGGCCCAAACAAAUCUUCCUAUAGAUUAUUAGAGCAAUGCAUUUUUUGUGCUAUUAUCUCAUCAAUCGUCUUUCUACCUCGGUUUUGAACGAACAAUCCCUGUACAAGGUUCUGCAUAGACAAGAUCCCACAUAUGAUCAUUUACGAAUGUUUAGGUGUUGUUGUUUUCCAUAUCUGCGUCCUUUUCUGCGUCACAAGUUGGAUUUUCGUUCUUAACCUUAUAUGUUUAUAGGAUAUAGUUCCCAACAUAAAGGGUAUCAAUGUCUCACAGCGGAUGGUAAGGUCGUUAUUUCUCAUCAUGUUGUGUUUGAUGAACACCAUUUUCUGUUUCCUACGUCUGUUACGGGAGGUUCCAGAUCUUCAUUAGGUCAAUCUCUCUCACCAACAUAUGUUCCUCUUGUUCAGCCUGUCUGCUCUUGACCCACGGAGUCCUCAUCCGCUCAACCUCUUGCGUUAACCUCACCUCUUGGUUUAUGUCCCUCUCUUUCUAACUCUAAAGUUCCUCAGGUUGUUUUGGGAUCUGUACAUGAGCUCUGUCCUCUCUCCUCUUUACCUGACAAUGACGGUGUACCCAAUCCAACCACGAUUGCUUCCAAUAUUCCAGUUUCUCCACUAUUUCGUCAGCUCUUUUGCACCUAACAAAUACUUAUCCGAUGGUUACUUGGUCUAAGGCUGGCGUUUUUAAGCCCAAGGCUCUGUCUGUUGAAUCUGUUGAGCCUCACACGAUUGAGGAAGCCAUUUUUACCACCAAAUGGCUUGCCGCUGCUCGGGCUGAGUAUGAUGCCCUCAUUCAUAACUCCACCUGGAACUUGUUUCGUUACUAAAUAAUUGUAAAGUGAUCUGAUGUAAAUGACUUUUCAAAGUAAAAAAAUCUUGAUGGCACGAUUGCAUGUCGUAAGGCUUAGUUAGUAAUUAAAGGAUGUUCUCAGGUACCUGGAUGCGAUUUCAAGGAAACAUUUAGUCCAGUAAUAAAACCUGCUACUAUUCGAAUCAUACUAUCUAUUGUUGUUUCCAAGGGUUGGCAACUUCGUCAGGUGGAUGUGAAUAAUGCCUUUUUAAAUGGUGAUCUUACUAAUGAAAUGUUUAUGCAUCAACCUCCAGGGUAUGUUCAAUAUGGUUCUAAUGGUAAACAUUUGGUCUAUCGUCUGAAGAAGGCUUUGUAUGGACUAUGUCAGACUCCGCGUGCUUGGUUUGAUAAAUUGAAGUGCUUUCUCCUUUCUGUUGGUUUUCUUCUAUUAAAGUCUGAUACAUAUUUGUUUAUUAAAGUUACGCCUAACUCCACUCUUUAUGUUCUUGUGUAUGUGGAUGAUAUUAUCAUUACUAAAAGCAUGUCUACCUGUAUAAAUAGCUUUGUUCAGUAGUUGAAUAAGGAGUUCUCACUUAAACAUAUGGGUGAUCUCCUUUAUUUUCUAGGGAUUAAGGUUACUCGUUUUGCCGAAGGGUGUCUUCAUCUAUGCUAACGAAAGCACAUUCGCGAUCUGCUAGAUAGGAGUUCCAUGACUCAUGCAAAGAGUGUUCAUAAUCCUAUGAUUACUUCGUCUCCUCUAUCCAAGGAUGAUGGGGAUCAUCUUCAUGACCCUACUGAAUACAGAAGUCUUGUAGGUGCUUUACAGUAUGUGGUCCUUACUCGACCUGAUAUUGCCUACGCGUUAAAUCGCAUAUGUUAGUUCAUGCAUGCGCCUACUGCUGUCCAUCUGGUUACAUUAAAAUGAAUCUUGUGGUAUUUAUGUGGUACCCUUGAUUAUGAGAUUGUUUUUCAUCAAUCUUCUCAACUUUUGUAACGCCUAAAAAUUUCUAAUUUCGUUAUUAUGAAAAUAUGACACAAAUAUCUAUCAACUUUAGUGGUUAUGUGUUCUGAAAGUGUCUGGGAGGUCCCAAGUUUGAGCCUUCGCUUGGGAAAAUUUUAGUAUUUUGAAUGAAUUAGGCCUUACUCUUGUUCAGUAGGCUUCUAUUUGAUUGUUGGGUAAAUUACAUCAGAAUGAAUUCAUGAGAAAGGUAUAAUAAACUUUGUGAGACAAGGUCAGAAUGAAUUUGGGUUCCCCUGUUCUGACUUUGAAAAAUCAUGAAAAUUGGAGAAAAAUAAUUGGGGGUUAAAAUUUACAUAUUUAAAUUAUUGUUGAGACUAUUUUCAAUAAAAACAAAUUGAAACAUCAUCCAAUUUUUUUACUAAGAGAUAAUUAAUUUUUAGCAAAGAAGGGACGAAGCUGUCAGACAGCAGAACAGGGGUAAGUUUGAAGAUUUUACUGUACUUAUUGGCAGAACAAAAAAUUUUAAAAAUUUUAUGGUAAGGUAUUUGAGUCUAGUUUCAAAACCAUCAAGUGGAUCUUAAUUCGGAAUUCUGUAGCUCAAUAUAUAAAUAAUUUAGUAACAGUGACUCAAGUAGACAACUUUGAAGGAACAUAUAAGUAAAUAGUGAAAACAUAUAUGAAUAAUUAACUAGCACGAGUUACAUUAAAAAUGGAUCAUGUGGCCAAGGCCAAUUUGGGCCGAGUGGGCCACAUGGGCGUGUGAGCCUAUUUUUCUAAAAAGUUCUGUAAGGUUGCACGGGUCGCCCAAGUCAACUAUGGACCUACUGAAGGGUCGGUAAGCUUUACUUAGACCCCUAUCUGUGUGAUCUGUGUGAUUUCUAUACCGAGCAUGACUUAUGAUAUCUGAAUGUAUGUACUAUUAAUUGCAUAAUGGCAUGACAUAUUUUGUAUGCUGCAUUGCAUCGGGGUAGGUUGAUGAUAUUUGGAGAAAGUGUCUGAAAGGCUAUUAAGUCUAUUAUCUGCAGCUCAGCUGCAACCUUAUGAUUAUGUGCCGCAUUUCGGUACAGCAUGGUGUGUAGGGAUGAGUGGGUUGAUUUAAUCCCCACAUGGUGUGUAGGGUUGGACGAAGAUGGUGUGUAGAGGCUGGUGGGUAGGAUUCUGAUUUACUGUAUCUGCAUUUUGUAUCUGAUAUAGGCCAAGGCCCUAAUGCAUUUCUAAGACUGUAUCUGAAUGGGUUAAGGCCCAAACUGAUUCUGUGAUGGACACAGGCCUCGGACUGUAUCUAACUGAAUUCUAUUGAUUAUUUGUAUGCAUGUUUUCUGUGGGGAUUACACAUUGAGUUUGCGAAAACUUACCCUUUCUUUGUUUAAUCUAUAUAGGUAAUCCCCAAACUUGACGGGUCGAUGCAGCGGAGGACUCAACGGUGGCCACACGUAAAUUUUAGACUAUUUUCCAUAAUUUCUAGAAUUUAUUACUUAUUUGAGGUUUUUGAUGUAUCUUCUAGACUAUGAACUGGAUGGCUUUAAAUUUGAGACUUUAUACUAUUUUUUAUGGAUUUUUUUUAAAAACUGCAACUCCACAAAACACGAUUUUUUUCCUAAAAAGCUAAGGUUCUUCGUAAGUAGAAACAAUUUUCCCUAAAUUAAUUGGUUACAAAAGCUUUCAAUAAGAGACAAGUUUUAAAGUAAAUCAACUAGUUUUUUUUUCGAAUUAAAUAAAAGCUAACUUACUGUAACGGUUUUUAAAUUCGACAAUAUUAUAUUUGAAUCUCUUUCCAUGUGACAUCGCCAGAUUCGACCAUAACAUCUAGGCCGGGUUUAGGGUGUUACAUUUAGUGGUAUCAAAGCCAGGUUGCAAUACUCAGCUGUGGAUUUGGGUUUUAAAACUUGGUUUUAAAGAGAUGAUUUUUAAAUGGUUUGAAAUAUUUUUGACUGAGUAUGUGGUACACUGAGUCUUCGGCGCCGAUUCUGUAAAUGUUCUAAAAACUUUGGUAAGUUUUUGAAAAUAUGAGUAGCAUGUUCUGAAACUACUAUAGGUAGUACACUGUACUAAGAACACUGUAGAUAGAAUAUACUAAAAACAGUAGCGAAACUGAAAACUAUAGUAAGUCUGCGAUUCGUGUUAACAAACUCUAAACUUCUGAUACUAUUUUGCAUAAAAUAUCUACUAAUAGAUAUCGAAACUGUAAUUGAUUCAUAAAACUGUUAACACAGAUAAGCUACGAAUUCUACGAUGAGUGCACGAGGUAUCCGCGGACGGGUACUAAAGGCCGAGGUAGAGGCUGUAGAGGGGCUCGAGCUGAGUCCCGGACCAUGAUCACCUCUAAUUGUGAGUCUAAAUAUUAUAAGGUCGGUGUUAAUUAUGCAAAUAAAAAAAUUUCUUGCAAUAUAUUGUGGUGUAUGAUACCAUUUGAGAAAAUAGUGUUAAACACAAGCACAAUAAAACUUUGAUUUGAAACAUUUAAGGCUUCAAAAUGCGGUUGAGAAGGUAUUUGUUGUUCUGAAAACAUAUUUAUCAUAUUAACAACAUCACUUUUGUAUAACAUAUAAAAAAAAAGUUGGAUCGUA
RNAcentral lists this long non-coding RNA (17271 nucleotides) under Gossypium raimondii (Peruvian cotton). RNAcentral describes it as "long non-coding RNA (GRAI_LNC006257)". The record is from RNAcentral. Lineage: Eukaryota; Viridiplantae; Streptophyta; Magnoliopsida; Malvales; Malvaceae.